RNAcentral lists this ribosomal RNA (242 nucleotides) under uncultured bacterium. Its description in RNAcentral is "partial 16S ribosomal RNA". It matches the Rfam family "Bacterial small subunit ribosomal RNA", at positions 91 to 334 of the family's 1533-position model. The record is from RNAcentral.
CGGACCGGCGCACGGGUGCGUAACGCGUAUGCAACCUACCUUUAACAGGGGGAUAACACUGAGAAAUUGGUACUAAUACCCCAUAAUAUCAUAGAAGGCAUCUUUUAUGGUUGAAGAUUCCGAUGGUUAGAGAUGGGCAUGCGUUGUAUUAGCUAGUUGGUGGGGUAACGGCUCACCAAGGCGACGAUACAUAGGGGGACUGAGAGGUUAACCCCCCACACUGGUACUGAGACACGGACCAG